Molecule: long non-coding RNA, 1111 nt
Filed under: Coturnix japonica (Japanese quail)
Lineage: Eukaryota; Metazoa; Chordata; Aves; Galliformes; Phasianidae
Description: lncRNA (ENSCJPG00005001592.1)
Source: RNAcentral
GCCAGCAUACACUAGUAUGGGGCUGUAUGGACCAGUAUAGACCAGUAUAAACCAGUAUAGACCAGUAUAGACCAGUAUGGGGCUGUAUAGACCUGUAUGGACAAGUAUGGACCAAAAUAAACCAGUAUAAACCAGUAUGGACCAGUAUAGACCAGUAUAAACCAGUAUAGACCAGUAUAGACCAGUAUGGACCAGUAUAAAUUAGUAUAGACCAGUAUGGACCAGUAUAAACCAGUAUAAACCGGUAUAAACCAGUAUGGACCAGUAUAGCCCAGUACCCCCCCCAUUAAAGUCUCUCUAUCUCCCCCCACAGCCCCACGGCCGCCCCUCCCCCACCUCAACCCCCCAGCCCCCCCCCCUUUGUGGUGGUGGCGGAGCCGUCAGUCGAGAGGCCCAGGGUCCUACAGGCCAGAAUCCUAUUGACCUAUAGGGUGAGUUAUGGGGUCUAUGGGGUCCUAUGGGGUCUAUGGGGUCCUAUGGGGUCCUACAGGCCAGAAUCCUAUUGACCUAUAGGGUGAGUUAUGGGGUCUGUGGGGUUUUAUGGGGUUCUAUGGGGUCUAUGGGGUUCUAUGGGGUCCUAUGGGGUCCUAUGGGGUCUAUGGGGUCCUAUGGGGUCUAUGGGGUCCUAUGGGGUUCCUACUGCCAUAUAGGGUGAGUUAUGGGGUCCUAUGGGGCUCUAUGGGGUCUGUGGGGUCCUAUGGGGUCCUAUUGAUUCCUAUGGGGUCUAUGGGGUCCUAUGGGGUCCUAUGGGGUUCUAUGGGGUCCUAUUGAUUCCUAUGGGGUCCUAUGGGGUUCUAUCGGGUCCUAUGGGGUCCUAUGGGGUCUAUGGGGUUCUAUGGGGUCCUAUGGGGUUCUAUGGGGUCCUAUGGGGUCUAUGGGGUCCUAUGGGGUUCCUACUGCCCUAUAGGGUGAGUUAUGGGGUCCUAUGGGGUCUAUGGGGUUCUAUGGGGUUCUAUGGGGUCCUAUGGGGUCUAUGGGGUCCUAUGGGGUUCUAUGGGGUCCUAUGGGGUCCUAUGGGGUUCUAUGGGGUUCUAUGGGGUCCUAUGGGGUUCCUACUGCCCUAUAGGGUGAGUUAUGGGGUCCUAUGGGGUCUAUGGGGUCCUAUAGGAUU